Molecule: ribosomal RNA, 653 nt
Filed under: uncultured Actinomycetales bacterium
Lineage: Bacteria; Bacillati; Actinomycetota; Actinomycetes; Actinomycetales
Description: bacterial SSU rRNA
Rfam family: Bacterial small subunit ribosomal RNA
Source: RNAcentral
UCGAGUGGCGAACGGGUGAGUAACACGUGGGUGAUCUGCCCUGCACUUCGGGAUAAGCUUGGGAAACUGGGUCUAAUACCGGAUAGGAACCAUCUUUAGUGUGGUGGUUGGAAAGUUUUUUCGGUGUAUGAUGAGCUCGCGGCCUAUCAGCUUGUUGGUGGGGUAAUGGCCUACCAAGGCGGCGACGGGUAGCCGGCCUGAGAGGGUGUACGGCCACAUUGGGACUGAGAUACGGCCCAGACUCCUACGGGAGGCAGCAGUGGGGAAUAUUGCACAAUGGGCGCAAGCCUGAUGCAGCGACGCCGCGUGGGGGAUGAAGGCCUUCGGGUUGUAAACUCCUUUCGCUAGGGACGAAGCUUUUUGUGACGGUACCUAGAUAAGAAGCACCGGCUAACUACGUGCCAGCAGCCGCGGUAAUACGUAGGGUGCGAGCGUUGUCCGGAAUUACUGGGCGUAAAGGGCUCGUAGGUGGUUUGUCGCGUCGUCUGUGAAAUUCUGGGGCUUAACUCCGGGCGUGCAGGCGAUACGGGCAUAACUUGAGUGCUGUAGGGGUAACUGGAAUUCCUGGUGUAGCGGUGAAAUGCGCAGAUAUCAGGAGGAACACCGAUGGCGAAGGCAGGUUACUGGGCAGUUACUGACGCUGAGGAGCGAAA